CCUACCAGACUUAUACAUGCAAGUAUCCGCACCCCAGUGUAAAUGCCCUCAACCCCUUACCAAGGCAAGAGGAGCGGGCAUCAGGCUCACUACUUGUAGCCCAAAACGCCUUGCUCAGCCACACCCCCACGGGCCAUCAGCAGUAAUUAACAUUAAGCAAUAAGUGUAAACUUGACUUAGUCAUGGUAUCUACAGGGCUGGUAAAUCUUGUGCCAGCCACCGCGGUCACACAAGAGGCCCAAAUUAACAGUAUACGGCGUAAAGAGUGGCCUAAUAAUAUCGCCCACAACUAAGGUGAAAGUGUGUCUAAGCUGUCAUAAGCUCAAGACCCAUCUAAACUCACCAUAAACAUAACCUCAGACCCAAAGCGACCAACUUAAUCCACGAAAGCCGGGAGACAAACUGGGAUUAGAUACCCCACUAUGCUCGGCCAUAAAUCCAGAUGCUUUCACCACCAAAGCACCCGCCAGGGAACUACGAGCACAAACGCUUAAAACCCUAAGGACUUGGCGGUGUCCCAAACCCACCUAGAGGAGCCUGUUCUAUAAUCGAUAUUCCACGCUACACCCAACCCCUUCUCGCCCAGGCAGCCUAUAUACCGCCGUCGCCAGCUCACCUCCACCUGAGAGCAUCACAGUGAACACAAUAGCUUCACCCGCUAAAAAGACAGGUCAAGGUAUAGCCAAUGAAGGGGAAGAAAUGGGCUACAUUUUCUGAUCCAGAAAAUCAACGAACCAAGGCCUGAAAUGGCCCUCAGAAGGCGGAUUUAGCAGUAAAACACGACCACAAUGCCUGUUUUAAGCUGGCCCUGGGACACGUACAUACCGCCCGUCACCCUCCUCAUAAGCAACCUCUUCCCCAUAACCUAUUACCCCCUAAAGCUGAAGAUGAGGUAAGUCGUAACAAGGUAAGUGUACCGGAAGGUGUACUUAGCAUAACAAGAUGUAGCUUAACAUAAAGCACUCAGCUUAC
RNAcentral lists this non-coding RNA (972 nucleotides) under Jynx ruficollis (rufous-necked wryneck). RNAcentral describes it as "12S ribosomal RNA". It matches the Rfam family "Bacterial small subunit ribosomal RNA". Lineage: Eukaryota; Metazoa; Chordata; Aves; Piciformes; Picidae. The record is from RNAcentral.